UACGAAGGGGGCUAGCGUUGUUCGGAAUCACUGGGCGUAAAGGGCGCGUAGGCGGCUUUGUAAGUCAGGGGUGAAAUCCUGGAGCUCAACUCCAGAACUGCCUUUGAUACUGAGAAGCUUGAGUCCGGGAGAGGUGAGUGGAACUGCGAGUGUAGAGGUGAAAUUCGUAGAUAUUCGCAAGAACACCAGUGGCGAAGGCGGCUCACUGGCCCGGUACUGACGCUGAGGUGCGAAAGCGUGGGGAGCAAACAGG
Molecule: ribosomal RNA, 253 nt
Filed under: uncultured bacterium
Lineage: Bacteria
Description: partial 16S ribosomal RNA
Rfam family: Bacterial small subunit ribosomal RNA
Source: RNAcentral